AGACACCGUCAACAUGGAAGGUGGCAAGCUCGAAUCGGACGGGUUGCGGGAAACAAAGACUUCUAUCUUGGUACAUUUAGCACACAAGAGGAGGCUGCAGAAGCAUAUGAUAUUGCAGCAAUCAAGUUUAGAGGAACAAGUGAUGUGACCAAAUUUGACAUAAGUAGGUAUGAUGUCAAGAGAAUUUGUUCAAGCUCAACUCUAAUCGCCGGAGACAUCGACACCUUCUCAGUCGCCUCCUCUAGCUAUUACCGACGGCGAACAACAGCAUUCUGAUGAAUUGUCCAACAUGGUGUGGAAUUCGAACAAAGACGAGCAACCACCGCAGAACGAGUGUGGAAACAACACCGAUGAAUUGUCCAACAUGGUGUUUCCUCACUUUAUUUAAUAUCUUUUGCAUUUUAGAGAUAUCAUGGUUUAAUGAUUAGUAAUCAACAUCUUUAACCAAGUUAUUGUUGCUAAUAACUACUUCACUGGAUCGAACGAAAACCUCAAAAAAUGGAUUGGCCAUCCAAGAUUUGAGCUUAUCCGUCACGGUUUGUAUGUCAGUUUGGACAAAGAUUAGACUGUAUAUCUGCAUGCUUGUCUGGGUUGGAAUGAUGGAUAAUCUGGUUUUGUCAGAAACGCUGGCGGAGUCGGAAACUGCGGAAGUGGAGAAUCAGUAGCUAUAGAUAUUGUUGCAGUUUUGGGGAGUUUAGUUUUUUUCUAAGAUGCUGUCUUCUUGUGCGACGGUUUCCGGUGAUGUGUUGAAUAUGUCGAGAGCCAUGGUAUAAUGUUUUCGCAUGUAUUGGUGCAUCAUGUUGCAGGUGGUGUUUUGCAAAAUUUGUCCUUGCCGGAGUAAUCGUAGAGCUGCGUCUUCGGCGGCCAUCUGAGCAAGCUACGGGUCUGGUGUAUGUUGUUUUA
Vicia villosa (hairy vetch) is the source of this 903-nucleotide long non-coding RNA. RefSeq lists it as uncharacterized. NCBI's taxonomy places the organism in Eukaryota, Viridiplantae, Streptophyta, Magnoliopsida, Fabales, Fabaceae. The record is from RefSeq and is a predicted model, not a curated record. The transcript has 4 exons.